AGAGCGAACGCUGGCGGCAGGCUUAACACAUGCAAGUCGAGCGGGCGUAGCAAUACGUCAGCGGCAAACGGGUGAGUAACGCGUGGGAACAUACCUUUUGGUUCGGAACAACACAGGGAAACUUGUGCUAAUACCGGAUAAGCCCUUACGGGGAAAGAUUUAUCGCCGAAAGAUUGGCCCGCGUCUGAUUAGCUAGUUGGUGAGGUAACGGCUCACCAAGGCGACGAUCAGUAGCUGGUCUGAGAGGAUGAUCAGCCACAUUGGGACUGAGACACGGCCCAAACUCCUACGGGAGGCAGCAGUGGGGAAUAUUGGACAAUGGGCGCAAGCCUGAUCCAGCCAUGCCGCGUGAGUGAUGAAGGCCCUAGGGUUGUAAAGCUCUUUUGUGCGGGAAGAUAAUGACGGUACCGCAAGAAUAAGCCCGGCUAACUCGUGCCAGCAGCCGC
This 446-nucleotide ribosomal RNA is filed under the name uncultured bacterium. RNAcentral describes it as "SSU rRNA". It matches the Rfam family "Bacterial small subunit ribosomal RNA", at positions 26 to 518 of the family's 1533-position model. The record is from RNAcentral.